RNAcentral lists this ribosomal RNA (517 nucleotides) under uncultured bacterium. Its description in RNAcentral is "bacterial SSU rRNA". It matches the Rfam family "Bacterial small subunit ribosomal RNA", at positions 28 to 560 of the family's 1533-position model. The record is from RNAcentral.
AAUGAACGUUGGCGGCGUGGAUUAGGCAUGCAAGUCGAGCGUGUACCCGCAAGGGGAAAGCGGCAAACGGGGUAGGAACGCGUAGGUCACGUACCCCUCGGCCGGGGAUAGCCACGGGAAACUGUGGGUAAUACCCGAUGACGCCGAGAGGCCAAAGGUGUGAUUCCGCCGGGGGAGCGGCCUGCGUAGUAUUAGCUAGUUGGUGAGGUAACGGCUCACCAAGGCGAAGAUGCUUAGGGGGUGUGAGAGCAUGACCCCCACCACUGGGACUGAGAUACUGCCCAGACACCUACGGGUGGCUGCAGUCGAGAAUCUUCGGCAAUGGGGGCAACCCUGACCGAGCGACGCCGCGUGUGGGAUGAAGGCCCUUGGGUUGUAAACCACUGUCAGAGGGGAUGAAACGAUCAUGGGUUCUCCCAUGGUCCUGACAUAGCCUCAGAGGAAGCACGGGCUAAGUUCGUGCCAGCAGCCGCGGUAAUACGAACUGUGCAAAACGUUUAUUCGGAAUCACUGGGAC